RNAcentral lists this ribosomal RNA (456 nucleotides) under uncultured Rhodocyclaceae bacterium. Its description in RNAcentral is "bacterial SSU rRNA". It matches the Rfam family "Bacterial small subunit ribosomal RNA", at positions 927 to 1382 of the family's 1533-position model. Lineage: Bacteria; Pseudomonadati; Pseudomonadota; Betaproteobacteria; Rhodocyclales; Rhodocyclaceae. The record is from RNAcentral.
AAGCGGUGGAUGAUGUGGAUUAAUCGAUGCAACGCGAAAACCUUACCUACCCUUGACAUGUCCGGAAUCCCGAAGAGAUUUGGGAGUGCUCGCAAGAGAGCCGGAACACAGGUGCUGCAUGGCUGUCGUCAGCUCGUGUCGUGAGAUGUUGGGUUAAGUCCCGCAACGAGCGCAACCCUUGUCAUUAGUUGCCAUCAUUUGGUUGGGCACUCUAAUGAGACUGCCGGUGACAAACCGGAGGAAAGGUGGGGGAUGACGUCAAGUCCUCAUGGCCCUUAUGGGUAGGGCUUCACACGUCAUACAAUGGUCGGUACAGAGGGUUGCCAACCCGCGAGGGGGAGCUAAUCCCACAAAGCCGAUCGUAGUCCGGAUCGCAGUCUGCAACUCGACUGCGUGAAGUCGGAAUCGCUAGUAAUCGUGGAUCAGCAUGUCACGGUGAAUACGUUCCCGGGUCUU